GGGUAGUCCCAGCUGUAAACUAUGCAAACUCAGUGAUGCAUUGACUUGUGGUCAAUGCAGUGCUGCAGGGAAGCCGUUAAGUUUGCCGCCUGGGAAGUACGUACGCAAGUAUGAAACUUAAAGGAAUUGGCGGGGGAGCACCACAAGGGGUGAAGCCUGCGGUUCAAUUGGAGCCAACGCCAGAAAUCUUACCCGGAGAGACAGCAGAAUGAAGGUCAAGCUGAAGACUUUACCAGACAAGCUGAGAGGUGGUGCAUGGCCGUCGCCAGCUCGUGCCGUGAGAUGUCCUGUUAAGUCAGGUAACGAGCGAGAUCCCUGCCUCUAGUUGCCACCAUUACUCUCAGGAGUAGUGGGGCGAAUUAGCGGGACCGCCGCAGUUAAUGCGGAGGAAGGAAGGGGCCACGGGCAGGUCAGUAUGCCCCGAAACUCUGGGGGCCACACGCGGGGCUGCAAUGGGUAACGACAAUGGGUUUCGAAUCCGAAAGGAUGAGGUAAUCCAGAAACGUUACC
This 510-nucleotide ribosomal RNA is filed under the name uncultured prokaryote. RNAcentral's name for it is "bacterial SSU rRNA". It matches the Rfam family "Archaeal small subunit ribosomal RNA", at positions 739 to 1243 of the family's 1478-position model. The record is from RNAcentral.